RNAcentral lists this small RNA (590 nucleotides) under Pongo abelii (Sumatran orangutan). RNAcentral's name for it is "processed transcript". The record is from RNAcentral. Lineage: Eukaryota; Metazoa; Chordata; Mammalia; Primates; Hominidae.
CUGUCACAAUAUCAAUUUGCAAUAGAGACUAUUGGGAAGAAGUUACCUGCAACUACAGCAACUCCAGACUCAUCAAAAACAGAAAUGGACAGCAGGACAAAGAGCAAGGAUUACUGCAAAGUAAUAUUUCCAUAUGAGGCACAGAAUGAUGAUGAAUUGACAAUCAAAGAAGGAGAUAUAGUCACUCUCAUCAAUAAGGACUGCAUCGAUGUAGGCUGGUGGGAAGGAGAGCUGAACGGCAGACGAGGCGUAUUUCCCGAUAACUUCGUGAAGUUACUUCCACCGGACUUUGAAAAGGAAGGGAAUCCUCACCCACAGACACCGCCAGAGAACUUAGUGGGAUGUGUGGAGGAGGUCUCCCAAAGUCCAGAAUUGCUGAAAAUCAAGCUGAGACUUACUUCCAGAACCUCACCAUAUUCCUCUAACGAAGCCCCUCUAAAGGUUACCCAGCCAUCAGGAGACCCAAGAAGCCACCGCCUCCAUCCGCUCCUGUCAUUAAACAAGGGGCAGGCACCACUGAGAGAAAACAUGAAAUUAAAAAGAUACCUCCUGAAAGACCAGAAAUGCUUCCAAACAGAACAGAAGAAAAA